This 1070-nucleotide long non-coding RNA is filed under the name Physcomitrium patens. Its description in RNAcentral is "long non-coding RNA (PPAT_LNC009612)". The record is from RNAcentral. Lineage: Eukaryota; Viridiplantae; Streptophyta; Bryopsida; Funariales; Funariaceae.
CUUGCUUCUGGUGAUGGCUUCUCUCAUUUAGCAUAGGAUUCAAGGUUGUUUAGAAUAUUGUCAUGGAAUCUUAAUAGGUUAUACAUAAAAGGCUCGAGUUACAAGCACAUCCUAAGCUACAAGCACAUGCUUAGUUGUUACACACACACCCAUUAUGUCUAUAUACACAUCCAAGGCUUUUGAUUUGCUCAUUUAGAUAUUAUUUUCCUUGUCAUGGUAUGGAUCUCAAUCACCCUCACUUUCUUCAUUGCCUUAACAUGAGUCUUAUUGCCUCUCAAUCAUCUUCGCUCUCUUCCUUGCCUUGACAUGAGUCUUCUUGCCUCUCAAUUACCCUCACUCUCUUCCUUGCCCUAAUAUGAGUCUUGUUGCCUCUCAAUCACCCUCGCUCUCUUCCUUGCUCUAACAUGAGCCUUAUUGCCUCUCAAUCACAUUUGCUCUCUUCCUUGCUCUGACUUGAGUCUUGUUGCCUCUCAAUCAUCUUCACUCUCUUCCUUGCCUUGACAUGAGUCUUGUUGCCUCUCAAUCACCUUCACUCUUUUCCUUGUCCUAACAUGAUUCUUGUUGCUUUUCAAUCACAUUUGCUCUCUUCCUUGCCCUCACAUGAGUCUUGUUGCCUUUCAAUCAUCCUUGCUCUCUUCCUUGCCCUAACAUGAACCUUAUUGCCUCUCAAUCACCCUCGCUCUCUUCCUUGCCCUAACAUGAGCCUUAUUGCCUCUCAAUCACAUUUGCUCUCUUCCUUGCUCUGACUUGAGUCUUGUUGCCUCUCAAUCAUCUUCACUCUCUUCCUUGCCUUGACAUGAGUCUUGUUGCCUCUCAAUCACCUUCACUCUUUUCCUUGUCCUAACAUGAUUCUUGUUGCUUUUCAAUCACAUUUGCUCUCUUCCUUGCCCUCACAUGAGUCUUGUUGCCUUUCAAUCACCCUUGCUCUCUUCCUUGCCCUAACAUGAACCUUAUUGCCUCUCAAUCACCCUCGCUCUCUUCCUUGCCCUAACAUGAGCCUUAUUGCCUCUCAAUCACAUUUGCUCUCUUCCUUGCUCUGACUUGAGUCUUGUUGCCUCUCAAUCAUCUUC